AAAAAAGGGAGCUUGCUCCCGGAUGUUAGCGGCGGACGGGUGAGUAACACGUGGGUAACCUGCCUGUAAGACUGGGAUAACUCCGGGAAACCGGAGCUAAUACCGGAUAGUUCCUUGAACCGCAUGGUUCAAGGAUGAAAGACGGUUUCGGCUGUCACUUACAGAUGGACCCGCGGCGCAUUAGCUAGUUGGUGGGGUAAUGGCUCACCAAGGCGACGAUGCGUAGCCGACCUGAGAGGGUGAUCGGCCACACUGGGACUGAGACACGGCCCAGACUCCUACGGGAGGCAGCAGUAGGGAAUCUUCCGCAAUGGACGAAAGUCUGACGGAGCAACGCCGCGUGAGUGAUGAAGGUUUUCGGAUCGUAAAGCUCUGUUGUUAGGGAAGAACAAGUGCGAGAGUAACUGCUCGCACCUUGACGGUACCUAACCAGAAAGCCACGGCUAACUACGUGCCAGCAGCCGCGGUAAUACGUAGGUGGCAAGCGUUGUCCGGAAUUAUUGGGCGUAAAGGGCUCGCAGGCGGUUUCUUAAGUCUGAUGUGAAAGCCCCCGGCUCAACCGGGGAGGGUCAUUGGAAACUGGGAAACUUGAGUGCAGAAGAGGAGAGUGGAAUUCCACGUGUAGCGGUGAAAUGCGUAGAGAUGUGGAGGAACACCAGUGGUCGAAGGCGACUCUCUGGUCUGUUACUGACGCUGAAGGACGAAAGAGGGGGAGCGAAAAGGAUUUAAUACCCUG
This 736-nucleotide ribosomal RNA is filed under the name Bacillus safensis. RNAcentral describes it as "bacterial SSU rRNA". It matches the Rfam family "Bacterial small subunit ribosomal RNA", at positions 68 to 789 of the family's 1533-position model. Lineage: Bacteria; Bacillati; Bacillota; Bacilli; Caryophanales; Bacillaceae. The record is from RNAcentral.